UACGUAGGGUGCGAGCGUUAAUCGGAAUUACUGGGCGUAAAGCGUGCGCAGGCGGUUUUGUAAGCCAGAUGUGAAAUCCCCGGGCUUAACCUGGGAAUGGCAUUUGGGACUGCAAGGCUGGAGUGUGGCAGAGGAGACUGGAAUUCCUGGUGUAGCAGUGAAAUGCGUAGAUAUCGGAAGGAACACCAGUGGCGAAGGCGGCUUCCUGGUCCAACACUGACGCUGAGGCGCGAAAGCGUGGGGAGCGAACAGG
RNAcentral lists this ribosomal RNA (253 nucleotides) under uncultured bacterium. RNAcentral's name for it is "partial 16S ribosomal RNA". It matches the Rfam family "Bacterial small subunit ribosomal RNA", at positions 524 to 776 of the family's 1533-position model. The record is from RNAcentral.